AAUCGGAUGUAACUUUUUCUGUAGAUGUCUAUGGACAUAUUAUUUGCUUGAUUCCGAGUCCGUAUGAGAAAGUUACGCCUGUUUUAAGAAAU
RNAcentral lists this ribosomal RNA (92 nucleotides) under Oryza glaberrima (African rice). RNAcentral describes it as "rRNA EPlOGLG00000000700". Lineage: Eukaryota; Viridiplantae; Streptophyta; Magnoliopsida; Poales; Poaceae. The record is from RNAcentral.